CCUACGGGUGGCAGCAGUGGGGAAUAUUGCACAAUGGGGGAAACCCUGAUGCAGCGACGCCGCGUGAGUGAAGAAGUAAUUCGUUAUGUAAAGCUCUAUCAGCAGGGAAGAAAAUGACGGUACCUGAGUAAGAAGCCCCGGCUAACCACGUGCCAGCAGCCGCGGAAAAACUUAGGGGGCAAGCGUUACCCGGAUUUCAGGGGGGUAAAGGGAGCGUAGACGGGUGGGCAAGUCUGGAGUGAAGGGGGGGGGCUCAACCCCCGGACUGCACUGGAAACUGUACGGCUGGAGUGCAGGAGAGGUAAGUGGAAUUCCUAGUGUAGCGGUGAAAUGCGUAGAUAUUAGGAGGAACACCAGUGGCGAAGGCGGCUUACUGGACUGUAACUGACGUUGAGGCUCGAAAGCGUGGGGAGCAAACAGGAUUAGAUACCCUAGUAGUC
RNAcentral lists this ribosomal RNA (440 nucleotides) under uncultured bacterium. Its description in RNAcentral is "partial 16S ribosomal RNA". It matches the Rfam family "Bacterial small subunit ribosomal RNA", at positions 338 to 795 of the family's 1533-position model. The record is from RNAcentral.